This 460-nucleotide ribosomal RNA is filed under the name uncultured Actinomyces sp. RNAcentral describes it as "bacterial SSU rRNA". It matches the Rfam family "Bacterial small subunit ribosomal RNA", at positions 338 to 795 of the family's 1533-position model. The record is from RNAcentral. Lineage: Bacteria; Bacillati; Actinomycetota; Actinomycetes; Actinomycetales; Actinomycetaceae.
CCUACGGGUGGCAGCAGUGGGGAAUAUUGCACAAUGGGCGCAAGCCUGAUGCAGCGACGCCGCGUGAGGGAUGGAGGCCUUCGGGUUGUGAACCUCUUUCGCCAGUGAAGCAGGCCUGCUCCUUGUGGGUGGGUUGACGGUAGCUGGAUAAGAAGCGCCGGCUAACUACGUGCCAGCAGCCGCGGUAAUACGUAGGGCGCGAGCGUUGUCCGGAAUUAUUGGGCGUAAAGAGCUCGUAGGCGGCUGGUCGCGUCUGUCGUGAAAUCCUCUGGCUUAACUGGGGGCUUGCGGUGGGUACGGGCCGGCUUGAGUGCGGUAGGGGAGACUGGAACUCCUGGUGUAGCGGUGGAAUGCGCAGAUAUCAGGAAGAACACCGGUGGCGAAGGCGGGUCUCUGGGCCGUUACUGACGCUGAGGAGCGAAAGCGUGGGGAGCGAACAGGAUUAGAUACCCGAGUAGUC